CUCGGUUUUAUAUUUAAUUUUAAUGUGCUCUUCUGAGAAGUGUUAUAUUCCUGAGGGAGAGAGAGAGAGAUGGGUUGCCUGGGAGACACGGUUCUCAGGCCAGAAUCUCUGUUGUCUACGAAGUAGCGUGGACAUUACAGAAAGUUACCAUACGAUGGAAUGAUUGGAGAAGAGAUCGCUUGACUAGAAGAAGGCGUUGGGAGGCAGAUGCAUGGGCGGGAACACGCCUGCGCGUUCUCGCCGUGCGCGCCAGAUGGCGGGGCUACCCCUCUCCUGACGCCCAGCGGCUCCUGAGCCGGUCACACACACUAAGCAGGCCAAGGUGUGUUCCUGCCGGACAAUGGUGCAACUGUUCACUCUCCAGGAGCAGGGGGCGUGGCUUGUCAUCGGCUUGCUACAAGGGUUUCUGCUCGGUCAGGAAGUGCUGGCCCUUGGCCCUGCCCUGGGUUGCUCUGCCGCUGUUCCCCCCACCCUCCAAGGGGUACUCAUCACCUAUCCAGGCGCAUCACGUUGCUCUGCAGACUCGGGGCGGGGAACUGGUGUAGAGACGCUGACGCACUGUGAGACCCCGCAAAACAACAGAAAGAAAACCAAAGAACCUCUUCUGUGCCUGGGCAGUCCUCAGCCACCUCACGAGGGGCUCAGGGAUUUCUCUCUUUCUGUGGCAGCCAAAUUCGUGAUGAAGCAAUACCUUCUGGCCAAGACAGAGACACUUUCAGAGGCACACACAGUCAGCAGCUGGCUCAGAAGGACCCGGGGUAUUGGAUCUGGACACCGAAAUAGGUAAUGUUGGAUGUCCUAAUAUUCUCUCACAAUAUGGGAGAAAUUAGAUGCACUUUUGCCAGGUGCCCAAAUAGCUCUGAAUAAAUUAAAAAUAAGAAUCUUUUUAGUAUAUUGAGUACUCUCUGUGGCAGGGACUCGGAUAAGUGUUACAGUUACUUCAUUUUCAUGCUUGAUGAUGGUUAGUUUAAGUCUUGGCUUGGCUAGGCUCUGGCACCCAGUGACUUAAUCAAAGACAAAUCUAGGUGUCGCCAUGAAGGUACUUGGUAAAUAUGGCUAACACCUACUAUCAAUCUUGGGUUUUUUGUUUUGUUUUAUUUUAUUUUAUUUUAUUUUUUUGAGAGAGAGUGCAAGGGGAGGGGCAGAGGGAGAUGGGGAGGGGGAGAGAGAGGUGAAAGAUGGGGAGAGAGAGAGAAAAGUAAAUCUCAAGCAGACUCCAUGCUAACCACAGGGCCCGACAUGGGGCUCGAUGCCAUGACCCUGAGAGCAUGACCUGAGCCAGACACUUAACUGACUGAACCACCUGGCACCCCUGCUGUUAGUGGAUUUUUAAGCAAAGGGAGAUUACCCUCCAUAAUAUGGGUGGGUCUCACCCAAUCAGUUGAAAGGCCUUAUGAGCAACAACUGAGGUUUCCUGAAGAAGAAGAAAUUCUGCAUCAACACUAGCAGCAUCAACUCCUGCCUGUGUCUCCAGCCUGCCCUAUGGGUUUCUGAUUUGCCAGUCCACAUACUGUAUAAGCCAAAGUCUUCAAAGAAAGCUCUUGAUAUACAUAAAGGAGAUAGAUAGAGAUAAAGAUAGUCUGUCUUUCUGGAGAAGCCUUCUAGAAAUCCUACGAUUAUCUCCACUUUGAUUCUCAGAGGCGUUGUCAUUAGGGAACCUGCCCUGUCACCCAGCUAGCAAGAGGCAGAGCUGGGUCUGUUUGCAGCAUCUGCGGUUGAAAUGCCACGAGAUGUGGUCUUCCCAGGCUCCUGGAAGUACAAGAAGCCCGGCCAGGGAGUUCUGGAGAAACGAAACGCAUGCUGAAGUAGAUGGCAAGCCUGCAGCCAUUUCCCUGAGGGUUUCCAGGAGUUAAGGCUGAAGACUGACUCUUGAGUCUCAGAAAACCUGCUUCUUCACAGCCUGAUGUGGCAAACAAACCCACUUCUGGCCACUGUGUUGCCGUCUUCAACUUUUCUUGCCAUGGCUAACUUGGCGUGCGUUCCUGCCAGCCUGGUCCCCCAGUCCCUCCAUCCAUACCUGGGCGGCAUGUGUCCCCAGCUCAGCUGCUCCACACUUUGUCUAACUGCCUCUCGGCCGCCUGCUCUGCAUUCCUGCCCUG
Long non-coding RNA from Mustela putorius furo (domestic ferret), 2099 nucleotides. The record is from Ensembl. Lineage: Eukaryota; Metazoa; Chordata; Mammalia; Carnivora; Mustelidae.